This 460-nucleotide ribosomal RNA is filed under the name uncultured bacterium. RNAcentral's name for it is "partial 16S ribosomal RNA". It matches the Rfam family "Bacterial small subunit ribosomal RNA", at positions 338 to 795 of the family's 1533-position model. The record is from RNAcentral.
CCUACGGGAGGCAGCAGUGAGGAAUAUUGGUCAAUGGACGAGAGUCUGAACCAGCCAAGUAGCGUGAAGGAUGACUGCCCUAUGGGUUGUAAACUUCUUUUAUAUGGGAAUAAAAUGUUCCACGUGUGGGAUUUUGUAUGUACCAUAUGAAUAAGGAUCGGCUAACUCCGUGCCAGCAGCCGCGGUAAUACGGAGGAUCCGAGCGUUAUCCGGAUUUAUUGGGUUUAAAGGGAGCGUAGGUGGAUUGUUAAGUCAGUUGUGAAAGUUUGCGGCUCAACCGUAAAAGUGCAGUUGAAACUGGCAGUCUUGAGUAUAGUAGAGGUGGGCGGAAUUCGUGGUGUAGCGGUGAAAUGCUUAGAUAUCACGAAGAACUCCGAUUGCGAAGGCAGUUCACUGGACUGCAACUGACACUGAGGCUCGAAAGUGUGGGUAUCAAACAGGAUUAGAUACCCCAGUAGUC